This 467-nucleotide ribosomal RNA is filed under the name uncultured bacterium. Its description in RNAcentral is "partial 16S ribosomal RNA". It matches the Rfam family "Bacterial small subunit ribosomal RNA", at positions 29 to 507 of the family's 1533-position model. The record is from RNAcentral.
ACGAACGCUGGCGGCGUGCUUAACACAUGCAAGUCGAACGGAAAGGCCCUGCUUUUGUGGGGUGCUCGAGUGGCGAACGGGUGAGUAACACGUGAGUAACCUGCCCUUGACUUUGGGAUAACUUCAGGAAACUGGGGCUAAUACCGGAUAGGAGCUCCUGCCGCAUGGUGGGGGUUGGAAAGUUUCGGCGGUUGGGGAUGGACUCGCGGCUUAUCCGCUUGUUGGUGGGGUAGUGGCUUACCAAGGCUUUGACGGGUAGCCGGCCUGAGAGGGUGACCGGCCACAUUGGGACUGAGAUACGGCCCAGACUCCUACGGGAGGCAGGAGUGGGAAAUAUUGCACAAGGGGCGGAGGCCUGAUGCAGCAACGCCGCGUGCGGGAUGACGGCCUUCGGGUUGUAAACCGCUUUCGCCUGUGACGAAGCGUGAGUGACGGAAAUGGGUAAGGAAGCACCGGCUAACUACGUG